UACUUCCUCAUCUUCGUAAGACUACCCGCUGAACUUAA
RNAcentral lists this ribosomal RNA (38 nucleotides) under Metschnikowia reukaufii. Its description in RNAcentral is "partial 28S ribosomal RNA". Lineage: Eukaryota; Fungi; Ascomycota; Pichiomycetes; Serinales; Metschnikowiaceae. The record is from RNAcentral.